GAUCAUGGCUCAGGAUGAACGCUAGCUACAGGCUUAACACAUGCAAGUCGAGGGGCAGCAUGAACUUAGCUUGCUAAGUUUGAUGGCGACCGGCGCACGGGUGAGUAACACGUAUCCAACCUUCCCGUUACUCUGGAAUAGCCUUUCGAAAGAAAGAUUAAUACCGGAUAGUAUCGAGAGAUUGCAUGAUUACCCGAUUAAAGAUUUAUCGGUGAUGGAUGGGGAUGCGU
This 230-nucleotide ribosomal RNA is filed under the name uncultured bacterium. Its description in RNAcentral is "partial 16S ribosomal RNA". It matches the Rfam family "Bacterial small subunit ribosomal RNA", at positions 15 to 236 of the family's 1533-position model. The record is from RNAcentral.